AGAGGAGGAUGAGGACAACCCCAGAAGGAGGGCUGGGGAUUAAAGCUGUGAGCUGAGACAACCCAGACCGCUAUCCACAAUGAUCUGGCUGCUCUGUCUUUCCAGAAAUGAUGUCUAUUUAACUCUAAUGAUGAAUGUUGGGUUCUGAAGUCUUGUGUGGUGAGGUGCAUUCUAUUCUGCGUCCACAGGGCGGCGACACAACACUGAGAUCCCUGAUGUUUGCCUUGCCCAAAGCCCCGCCCUGCUUGCUGCCUCAGGUUCUCACUGUCCUAUCAAAUAAAAAGAAAAAAGAAGAGGAAAAGGAGGGGAAAUAUGGCUGGUGGAAGUGGUGAUUCAUCCCAUCAUCACAGAGACCAAUGAAUAACCCAGGUGGCAGCAGGAAAGAGGAAUACAAGAAGAAAGAAAGGCAGGGAGAGAAAGACUGCAAAUGUCCUUUACAACCAGUCACCAGAUGAGAAAGCCUGCCUGGAGGAAGCUUCACAGCAGACGGAGCCAUACUGUGGUCUCUCUCUCUCCCUCUCUCUGUCUCUAUCCCCCAUAUAUAUUCAUAUCUUCCUGUCCACAUUUCUCCUCAUUGGCUCUCAGCUCCAAAUUAAAAACAAAAAAAGCAGUCAAUCAUGAUCCCUGGAAACUACCAGGUGCCUAACUAAAGAAAGAUGAUCAUGGGAAAUGAACUGAUAUAUUCUAAACACCAGGUACUCAAUACAACAUAAGUAACAAACCAAAAAGAUGGUUUCUGAGAGCAACUUUGCAGUUCACAUAGUAAAGGCCACUGUGCAAAAAGCCACAUUGGGGGGGGGGAAGACAGCAUAAUGGUUAUGCAGAGACUCUCAUAGAGACUUUCAUGACGACCCAGGUGCAUUCCCCUGAAGGACCAUAAGCCAGAGCUAAGCAGUGCUCUGAUAAAAAUUUAAAAAAUCAAAAGAAAUCAAAAGCCACAUUAUACAAAAUGCUUAGAAACAACCUGGCCUGUGGUGUUUUGCUGCCACCUCGUGGACACACUAAAUAAUGCAUCUGCAUAGAAAAGUUCAUGACUCUCCACAAUUUCUUCAGAUAAUAAAUAUAUCUACAGGAAAAUUAAUUUAAAAAACAUUAUUUCAAAAAUGCACUGUGUACAAAACCUGAACGCUCCUUCCCACAAAAUGCUUAGAAACCCACAAAGAGCUUAGAAACCACCUGGGUUGUGGUGUGUUGCUGCCGCCUUGUGGACACACCGCAGAAUGCAUCUGAACAGAGACACAGCUGGGUGGCCCUCAAUCCACGGACUCCUCAGAAACAACAGGGACUGGGAGUCGGGCGGUAGCGCAGCGGGUUAAAUGCACAGGACGUGUAGCACAAGGACCAGAGUUCUCUCUGCCCUAUCAAACAAAAAGAAAAAAGAAGAGGAAAAGGAGGGGAAAUAUAGCUGGUGGAAGUGAUGAUUCAUCCCAUCAUCACAGAGACCAAUGAAUAACCCAGGUGGCAACAGGAAAGAGGAAUACAAGAAGAAAGAAAGGCAGGGAGAGAAAGACUGCAAAUGUCCUUUACAACCAGUCACCAGAUGAGAAAGCCUGCCUGGAGGAAGCUUCACAGGAGACGGAGCCAUACUGUGGUUGGUCUCUCUCUCCCCCAUCGGCAUUCAUAUCUUCCUGUCCACAUUUCUACCUCAUUGGCUCUCACCUCCAAAUUAAAAACAAAAAAGCAGGUAAUCAUGAUCCGUGGAAACUACCAGGUGCCUCACUAAAGAAAGAUGAUCAUGGGAAAUGAACUGAUAUAUUCUAAACACCAGGUACUCAAUACAACAUAAGUAACAAACCAAAAAGAUGGUUUCUGAGAGCAACUUUGCAGUUCACAUAGUAAAGGCCACUGUGCAAAAAGCCACAUUAGGGAGGGGGGGGAAGGCAGCAUAAUGAUUAUGCAGAGACUCUCAUAGAGACUUUCAUGACUACACUCCAAAGUCCCAGGUGCAUUCCCCUGCAGGACCGUAAACCAGAGCUGAGCAAUGCUCUGAUAAAAAUUAAAAAAUCAAAAGAAAUCAAAAGCCACAUUAUACAAAAUGCUUAGAAACAACCUGGCCUGUGGUGUUUUGCUGCCACCUCGUGGACACGCUGAAGAAUGCAUCUGAAUAGAAAAGUUCAUGACUCUCCACAAUUUCUUCAGAUAAUAAAUAUAUCUACAGGAAAAUUAAUUUUAAAAACAUUAUUUCAAAAAUGCACUGUGUACAAAACCUGAAAGCUCCUUCCCACAAAAUGCUUAGAAACCCACAAAGAGCUUAGAAACCACCUGGGUUGUGGUGUGUUGCCGCCGCCUUGUGGACACACCGCAGAAUGCAUCUGAACAGAGACACAGCUGGGUGGCCCUCAAUCCACGGUCUCCUCAGAAACAACAGGGACUGGGAGUCGGGCGGUAGCGCAGCGGGUUAAGCACACAGGACGUGUAGCAGAAGGACCAGGAUUCUAUGUGCCCUAUCAAAUAAAAAGAACAAAGAAGGGGAAAAGGAGGGAAAAUAUGGCUGGUGGAAGUGGUGAUUCAUCGCAUCAGCACAGAGCCCAGUGGAUAACCCAGGUAGCAAGAGGAAAGAGAAAUAAAAGAAGAAAGAAAAGCAGUAGGAAAGACUGCAAAUGUUCUUGAAAACCA
Long non-coding RNA from Erinaceus europaeus (western European hedgehog), 2616 nucleotides. RefSeq lists it as uncharacterized. NCBI's taxonomy places the organism in Eukaryota, Metazoa, Chordata, Mammalia, Eulipotyphla, Erinaceidae. The transcript has 4 exons. The record is from RefSeq and is a predicted model, not a curated record.